RNAcentral lists this ribosomal RNA (566 nucleotides) under Thermoactinomyces sp. CICC 24226. RNAcentral describes it as "partial 23S ribosomal RNA". It matches the Rfam family "Bacterial large subunit ribosomal RNA", at positions 279 to 838 of the family's 2925-position model. Lineage: Bacteria; Bacillati; Bacillota; Bacilli; Caryophanales; Thermoactinomycetaceae. The record is from RNAcentral.
UGGCUUUGCCAACCGGGGUUGUAGGACGUCUCACACGGAGUUACAAAGGUGACGGAUAGAUGAAGUGGUUCUGGAAAGACCCGCCAAAGAAGGUAACAGCCCUGUAAUCGAAAUCGGUCACCCUCCGAGACGGAUCCUGAGUACCGCGGGACACGUGAAACCCCGUGGGAAGCAGGGAGGACCACCUCCCAAGGCUAAAUACUCCCUGGCGACCGAUAGUGAACCAGUACCGUGAGGGAAAGGUGAAAAGCACCCCGGGAGGGGAGUGAAAGAGAACCUGAAACCGUGUGCUUACAAUCAGUCGGAGUCCUUUUAAAGGGAUGACGGCGUGCCUUUUGUAGAAUGAACCGGCGAGUGACGGUUACGUGCGAGGUUAAGGUGAGAAGCCGGAGCCGCAGCGAAAGCGAGUCUGAACAGGGCGAAUGAGUACGUGGCCGUCGACCCGAAACCGGGUGAUCUACCCAUGUCCAGGGUGAAGUUCCGGUAACACGGAAUGGAGGCCCGAACCUGUUGGUGUUGAAAAACCAUAGGAUGAGGUGUGGGUAGGGGUGAAAUGCCAAUCGAAC